CUUCUCCACUAGGUAGAUAUACCCCGGAUACCGUUUUCUCCAACAGUAAUCUUUCUCCAGUCCUCCAGACGCAGCUUCAGAAGAAUCCUCCAUGGUCAUCUGCAGCGGUUUCUUGUCCAUCUCCUGAAGAGGAACUGCAUGCAACUGAGAGUUCAUGCUGUGGGUGCAAAUGCUUCACCGGAUUCCUUAACCACAUCACAUCUGCUUCCUGCAUCCAAAUCACAUAUCUUUAGUCAUGGGACAGAAGAAAGGACAAUGCUGCUGCAGUUAGUCGUGACUGACGAGAGAACUCACGGUGAAAAUCAGGUUGUACCCGAGUUCUAGAAUCUCUUUCAA
This is a long non-coding RNA of Tarenaya hassleriana, 336 nucleotides long. RefSeq lists it as uncharacterized. The record is from RefSeq and is a predicted model, not a curated record. The transcript is spliced from 3 exons. Lineage: Eukaryota; Viridiplantae; Streptophyta; Magnoliopsida; Brassicales; Cleomaceae.